UACGAUGAUGAUUUUUAUAUAUUCACACUGUACUAGUGCUUUUUUAGCACAAUGACUACAAGAAAUAAAAAGACUGAUUUAAUGACUCUGAUU
This 93-nucleotide small nucleolar RNA is filed under the name Kazachstania africana CBS 2517. The record is from RNAcentral. Lineage: Eukaryota; Fungi; Ascomycota; Saccharomycetes; Saccharomycetales; Saccharomycetaceae.